This 1108-nucleotide long non-coding RNA is filed under the name Chinchilla lanigera (long-tailed chinchilla). Its description in RNAcentral is "lncRNA (ENSCLAG00000022291.1)". The record is from RNAcentral. Lineage: Eukaryota; Metazoa; Chordata; Mammalia; Rodentia; Chinchillidae.
GGGCGGGGGGCGACCUCUCCCCCACCCCCGCUCUCGGAGAGAUUCGGUCAAUUGGAGGGAGCGGGCCGGGCCGGGCCGGGCCGGGGAGAAGGAGCACAGUUCUGGAGGCCGGUGGGGACCCUCGCCGCCGCCGCGCCCCUCCCGCUCCCCAGCGCCCUCGCGGCCCAGUGGCUCCUGCGAGUCGGAGGCGGCCGCGGAGACUGAGCGACCGCGGGGACCGCCACGGGCUGGGCGCGGGUUCUCGGGCUCAACACUGCCACUGUCUGACACAACAGGAGCAGUGUUGGGGGAGCUGCGCGAUGAGACGCAAGACGUGAUAGGCUCUCCAAACUGGGUGCGAUUUUUUUUUUUUUUUUAACCCUAGUAAUUACAUUUCACUUUCGGGGGUUAUUUGUUGUUGUUGUUGUUGUUAAGCGAUUUAUCUGCAUUCAGACGCUCGUGUGCGUUUGCUUCUUACUCAGGACAACUGGACACUGCUGAGGGGAAGGACAGAGGAACGCAUAUGGACAUCCACGUACAGCUCCCUAACAGGGUGCCGGCAAUGAGCCGGGCAGAGUGCCUCAGUGCUAACAAAAUGUGACUUUUUAAUCUCUCUGAGUGUCCGUAUUCGAGCUGCAGAAGGGGGCCUUCUCAGGGCACCUGAGGAAUGGAAGAGACCAGCUACCUUACAGGACAUCCUAGGACAGAUACAGGUUCAGCAUGGUCUGCAAAUGGUCUGCUUAGGAGCUUGAGGUAGAAUUCGGAUUUGGAGAGGAGUCCUGACUGUCACAUUUUACAGGACCCUUUGAGGACAUUUGGACAGAGUGGAGGGGCUUCCCCUUACUGCACAGGCGGGUUGGCUGCUGCUCAGCAUUCUGUCACAGAACCUCUUUGCUCUUGCAUCUUUCACAGGACUGUCGCACUGAAGGAGACCAAAGAGAAUGGAUUUGUGAAACCUAAACUCAAGCCCGUGGAGGACUCUGAUGGCCCGUGGGCCACUUCCUACAUCUCCAGUGGAGAAAGCACAGCGCCGAAAUCACAAGAUCUCAUCCACAAGCGUAUGGCUGACUGCUGUUCAUCUGAUCCAAAACAAAAGUCACUGUUUGAUUGCCUGAGAGCUAAGCCUUGA